GCUGGGCGCGGUGGCGCACGCCUGUAGUCCCAGCUACUCCGGAGGCUGAGGCAGGAGAAUGGCUUGAACCGGGGAGGCAGCGGUUGUGGUGAGCCGAGAUUGCACCAUUGCACUCCAGCCUGGACCACAGAGUGAAACUUUUUUUGUUUGUUUUGUUUUGUUUUUGAGACGGAGUUUCGCUCUUGUUACCCAGGCUGGAGUGCAAUGGCGCGAUCUCGGCUCACCGCAACCUCCGCCUCCUGGGUUCAGGCAGUUCUCCUGCCUCAG
RNAcentral lists this small RNA (267 nucleotides) under Callithrix jacchus (white-tufted-ear marmoset). RNAcentral's name for it is "Metazoan signal recognition particle RNA (ENSCJAG00000054518.2)". Lineage: Eukaryota; Metazoa; Chordata; Mammalia; Primates; Cebidae. The record is from RNAcentral.